Molecule: transfer RNA, 73 nt
Filed under: Saccoglossus kowalevskii
Lineage: Eukaryota; Metazoa; Hemichordata; Enteropneusta; Harrimaniidae
Description: tRNA-Val
Rfam family: tRNA
About the family: Transfer RNA (tRNA) molecules are approximately 80 nucleotides in length. Their secondary structure includes four short double-helical elements and three loops (D, anti-codon, and T loops).
Source: RNAcentral
GUUUUCGUAGUGUAGUGGUUAUUACGUUCGCCUCACACGCAAAAUGCCCCCGGUUCGAACCCGGGCGAAAACA